GGGCUUGUAGCUUAGUGGAUUAGAGCGUGUGGCUACGGACCACAAGGUCGGGAGUUCGAGUCUCUCCAAGCCCGUCA
This 77-nucleotide transfer RNA is filed under the name Microcystis aeruginosa PCC 9806. Its description in RNAcentral is "tRNA-Arg". It matches the Rfam family "tRNA". Rfam says of the family: Transfer RNA (tRNA) molecules are approximately 80 nucleotides in length. Lineage: Bacteria; Bacillati; Cyanobacteriota; Cyanophyceae; Chroococcales; Microcystaceae. The record is from RNAcentral. RNAcentral also lists the same sequence under 1 other name.